This 460-nucleotide ribosomal RNA is filed under the name uncultured bacterium. Its description in RNAcentral is "partial 16S ribosomal RNA". It matches the Rfam family "Bacterial small subunit ribosomal RNA", at positions 338 to 795 of the family's 1533-position model. The record is from RNAcentral.
CCUACGGGUGGCAGCAGUGAGGAAUCUUCCACAAUGGACGAGAGUCUGAUCCAGCCACGCAGCGUGAAGGAUGACUGCUCUAUGGGUUGUAAACUUCUUUUAUAUGGGAAUAAAAUGUUGCAAGUGUCGGACCUUGUUUGUACCAUAUUAACUAGGAUCGGCUAACUACGUGCCAGCAGCCGAGGUAAUACGGAGGAUCCGAGCGUUGUCCGGAUUUAUUGGGUUGAAAGGGAGCGGAGGUGGUUUGUUAAGUCAGUUGUGAAAGUUUUCGGCUCAACCGUAGAAUUGCAGUUGAAACUGGCAGACUUGAGUGCAGUAGAGGUGGGCGGAACUCGAGGUGUAGCGGUGAAAUGCGUAGAUAUCACGAAGAACACCGGUUGCGAAGGCAGUUCACUGGACUGCAACUGACGCUGAGGCUCGAAAGUGUGGGUAGCGAACAGGAUUAGAUACCCUAGUAGUC